CUCUCUCCAAUUUCUCACACAUUACAAAAAUAAAAAUAAAAUAAAGCAAUCUCUCCACACACUGCACGUUUCCGUCUCCCGCCUACACUCAUCACACACGUCUCUCCCUACCUACCUACACGCCACCUUCACUUUCUCUUUUCUGUCACUCUCAUUAAAUCCUCAACAUCACCUCUCUUGACUCUCUCUCUUGGAAAGAGGAACGGACAGAAAAACGAGUUAUGGGAAAAAGAAAUCUUUUUCUCUACACAAAUCUUUUUCUUCUUCCAUCAACCAAAAUCAUUGCUCCAUCAUCUUCCACACCUCGCUACUCCCUCACCAUCCACCUUGUUCAAACUACCUCAACCCCAUUGUGAAACCAUUCCCGUGAACCACCCACUAACACCUUUCCGGCGACGUCGAUAAUCACUUUUUCACCCAAACAACCGCCGCCGCGAAAUCCCGAAAAACACCGCUCACAACCAUUUCACUGUGAAAAACCUUUCCUUCUUGGAUCCAACCACACAUCAUCACCGUCGCCAACCUUGACCUCUUCUUCCUCCUCGGCCGCGAAACAACUUCGCGCUUCACAUUCCCUCCGUCCAUAAACCCACUUCCCCGCCUUCCAACAACAGUUCUCACAACGUUCAAUUCGAAGCUUUGACUUCAAUAUACACAGGAUCCAGCACGCGCGAUAAUUCUCUUAUGUGUUUUAGAAAUUGUUUCUGGUGUGGAUCUGCAGUUUGUUUAUGGGUGUAGCGAGAUGCUGAAGUCAAUUUUCUGAGUUGUUUUUGACAAGACGAAACCAUCCUCAAUGCUGCGAGAUUAUAAUAUUGUGUUUAUGUCCAUUCAAUAAAAGUAAGGGUGCUUUGUUGAUGUUGUAUUCGGUUCGUAUUUACGGUUCGAAGUUGUGGUAACAAUCUGAAUCAAGCUUGCAUUACUGCUAUGCCGUGAAGUUCGGAGCAGUCAACCAAUGAAUAUUAGUCUUCUCUACAUUUAAGGUGACUAUUUUCAUGACCAAUAUUUAAGAUCUCCAAACUCUUGUUUGAAUGAUUCUCACGGCCGCUUGAAUGCUACAACAACAAGCUUUAAAGCUUUAGUUUUACCGUCAUUGUUAAUAUUUCAAAUUCCACACGUAUAUUGCUCAAAACGUAGGAAGAAAUGUGAUUUAUUUUGUUUUGAGUCUAUCAUGUUUAAUUGAAAUAUAGUCAUUGAGUUGCUGAGUUUUUAUGGAGUCAUUAUGCUUAAAUGUUGUGGUGCAUUUUAAUGUUUCGGUUAUAUAUUAGAUUCCUGAUUCAUUUUUGUUUCAUUAUUGUUGUUUCAUUUUGUUGAAAGUUUGAGUCACUAUAAUAAUUCAUCUUGUUAUCAUUGUCGUUGUGUUGUUGUUCUUGUGAGUUUGCAGCUAUUGGUUUGUUUUGUUCUAUGAGAGUAUGGACGUUGAGUUUCCUUAUGUUAUUUGAAUUCAUGAUGAAUAAUAAAACUGAGUAGAAUAUAUAUAAGAGUUGAUUCAAGUCUAUUUCUCAUGCAUUUGGUGUUAGCUCUAAAUUUGUGUGUUAG
This 1536-nucleotide long non-coding RNA is filed under the name Lathyrus oleraceus (garden pea). RNAcentral's name for it is "Pisum sativum (pea) long non-coding RNA (PSAT_LNC033215)". The record is from RNAcentral. Lineage: Eukaryota; Viridiplantae; Streptophyta; Magnoliopsida; Fabales; Fabaceae.